This 1431-nucleotide ribosomal RNA is filed under the name metagenome. RNAcentral describes it as "bacterial SSU rRNA". It matches the Rfam family "Bacterial small subunit ribosomal RNA". The record is from RNAcentral.
AGAGUUUGAUCCUGGCUCAGGAUGAACGCUGGCGGCGUGCUUAGCACAUGCAAGUCGAACGAUCCUUCGGGAUAGUGGCGGACGGGUGAGUAACGCGUGGGAAUCUGCCCUCAGGAGGGGGAUAACGGCUGGAAACGGCCGCUAAUACCCCAUAUGCCGAGAGGUGAAAUGAAUUUCGCCUGAGGAUGAGCCCGCGUCUGAUUAGCUAGUUGGUGGGGUAAAGGCCUACCAAGGCAACGAUCAGUAGCUGGUCUGAGAGGAUGAUCAGCCACACUGGGACUGAGACACGGCCCAGACUCCUACGGGAGGCAGCAGUGGGGAAUUUUCCGCAAUGGGCGAAAGCCUGACGGAGCAACGCCGCGUGAGGGAUGAAGGCCUCUGGGCUGUAAACCUCUUUUCUCAAGGAAGAAGACCUGACGGUACUUGAGGAAUAAGCCACGGCUAAAUUCCGUGCCAGCAGCCGCGGUAAUACGGGAGUGGCAAGCGUUAUCCGGAAUUAUUGGGCGUAAAGCGUCCGCAGGCGGCCUUGUAAGUCUGUUGUUAAAGCGUGGAGCUCAACUCCAUUUAAGCAAAGGAAACUACAAGGCUGGAGUGUGGUAGGGGCAGAGGGAAUUCCCGGUGUAGCGGUGAAAUGCGUAGAUAUCGGGAAGAACACCAGUGGCGAAGGCGCUCUGCUGGGCCAUAACUGACGCUCAUGGACGAAAGCCAGGGGAGCGAAAGGGAUUAGAUACCCCUGUAGUCCUGGCCGUAAACGAUGAACACUAGGUGUCGGGGGAAUCGACCCCCUCGGUGUCGUAGCCAACGCGUUAAGUGUUCCGCCUGGGGAGUACGCACGCAAGUGUGAAACUCAAAGGAAUUGACGGGGGCCCGCACAAGCGGUGGAGUAUGUGGUUUAAUUCGAUGCAACGCGAAGAACCUUACCAGGGUUUGACAUCCUGCGAACCCCUGAGAAAUCGGGGGGUGCCUUCGGGAGCGCAGAGACAGGUGGUGCAUGGCUGUCGUCAGCUCGUGUCGUGAGAUGUUGGGUUAAGUCCCGCAACGAGCGCAACCCACGUCUUUAGUUGCCAGCAUUCAGUUGGGCACUCUAGAGAGACCGCCGGUGAUAAACCGGAGGAAGGUGGAUGACGUCAAGUCAUCAUGCCCCUUACAUCCUGGGCUACACACGUACUACAAUGCUACGGACAAAGGGCAGCAAGCUCGCGAGAGUUAGCAAAUCCCAUAAACCGUGGCUCAGUUCAGAUCGUAGGCUGCAACUCGCCUACGUGAAGGAGGAAUCGCUAGUAAUCGCAGGUCAGCAUACUGCGGUGAAUACGUUCCCGGGCCUUGUACACACCGCCCGUCACACCAUGGAAGUUGGCCAUGCCCGAAGUCGUUACUCCAACCCUUGUGGAGGAGGACGCCGAAGGUGGGGCUGAUGACUGGGGUGAAGUC